This 253-nucleotide ribosomal RNA is filed under the name uncultured bacterium. RNAcentral's name for it is "partial 16S ribosomal RNA". It matches the Rfam family "Bacterial small subunit ribosomal RNA", at positions 524 to 776 of the family's 1533-position model. The record is from RNAcentral.
UACGUAGGGUGCAAGCGUUAAUCGGAAUUACUGGGCGUAAAGCGUGCGCAGGCGGUUUUGUAAGUCUGACGUGAAAACCCCGGGCUCAACCUGGGAAUUGCGUUGGAGACUGCAAGGCUAGAAUCUGGCAGAGGGGGGUAGAAUUCCACGUGUAGCAGUGAAAUGCGUAGAGAUGUGGAGGAACACCGAUGGCGAAGGCAGCCCCCUGGGUCAAGAUUGACGCUCAUGCACGAAAGCGUGGGGAGCAAACAGG